AGAAUCAACGCUGGCGGCGUGCCUAACACAUGCAAGUCGAACGAGAAAGUGGAGCAAUCCAUGAGUAAAGUGGCGACCGGGUGAGUAACACGUGACUAACCUACCUUCGAGUGGGGAUAACCUCGGGAAACCGAGGCUAAUACCGCAUAACAUCGUGAGAUCAAAGCAGUAAUGCGCUGGAAGAGGGGGUCGCGGCUGAUUAGCUAGUUGGCGGGUAAUGGCCCACAAGGCGAAGAUCGGUA
Molecule: ribosomal RNA, 242 nt
Filed under: uncultured bacterium
Lineage: Bacteria
Description: partial small subunit ribosomal RNA
Rfam family: Bacterial small subunit ribosomal RNA
Source: RNAcentral